UGGGGAAUAUUGGACAAUGGGCGGAAGCCUGAUCCAGCCAUGCCGCGUGUGUGAAGAAGGCCUUUUGGUUGUAAAGCACUUUAAGCGAGGAGGAGGCUACUUGGAUUAAUACUCUAGGAUAGUGGACGUUACUCGCAGAAUAAGCACCGGCUAACUCUGUUCCAGCAGCCGCGGUAAUACAGAGGGUGCGAGCGUUAAUCGGAUUUACUGGGCGUAAAGCGUGCGUAGGCGGCUUCUUAAGUCGGAUGUGAAAUCCCUGAGCUUAACUUAGGAAUUGCAUUCGAUACUGGGAAGCUAGAGUAUGGGAGAGGAUGGUAGAAUUCCAGGUGUAGCGGUGAAAUGCGUAGAGAUCUGGAGGAAUACCGAUGGCGAAGGCAGCCAUCUGGCCUAAUACUGACGCUGAGGUACGAAAGCAUGGGGAGCAAACAGG
This 430-nucleotide ribosomal RNA is filed under the name bacterium. Its description in RNAcentral is "partial 16S ribosomal RNA". It matches the Rfam family "Bacterial small subunit ribosomal RNA", at positions 355 to 776 of the family's 1533-position model. The record is from RNAcentral.